RNAcentral lists this long non-coding RNA (1002 nucleotides) under Homo sapiens (human). Its description in RNAcentral is "HSALNT0344393". The record is from RNAcentral. Lineage: Eukaryota; Metazoa; Chordata; Mammalia; Primates; Hominidae.
AUGCUGAAAUUGAAAAAGACAGGAUGAGUCACCUUUGCCCUGUCUCCUCUUCAAGUCUGAUCCUAAUUGAACGGAGAGUGCAAACUGCACGCCAAGAUUUGCAGAACAAAGGCCUCCCCGCCCACGAGUUCCUCAUGGCCUUGCCUCAGUCCCCGAAAUCCCGCUGUUAGCCUCCCUCACUAGAAUAAGGCAUUAGCACAGAAGCCAACGUUGGGGGAAAAGAAAAUCAAUACAGCGUGGAAGAGAAAGCAGGAAGCCAUGGAGGGAGGAAGAGACUGAGGCUCCGGCUGGAAGGACUUCGUUUGUGAUAAGAGCAGAGAGGAAAAGCAGCAAGAAAGAAAAGUCGCUGUACACUUUGGGUCUGGACAUCAAAGAAACAAAGGAAAUGCUUAGAUUCAGAGUGGCACGUGUGUAGAAAAAAGUCCUGCUUUCCUGUCUUGGGGGACACCACUAUCAUCCCAUGGCUGAGACCUGCGUCUGGUCCCUGCUAGACACCCAGCGAGGGUUGACAGCAUGAGCGAAUGAGCUUCUCCGUCUGCCCUAUUCUUGCACCGGAAAGCAGCAUGAAUGAGGACUUGGAAAGCCCCCGCUUGCCUACGAAGGCGUCAUGGAAGGAUGUGGCAUUGGACAGGUGAUGCAGUCACAGCCUCGCCCUAGGCCACUCCGGGUCUCUGCUGCCAGGCUACGAGGAGCAGAGAAACACAGGUCCUCUAGCGCAGGUGAGGAACUUUGGGAAAUUAUUUGAUCUUGUCUUAGGGAAUACCACGAGCAAAGCUUAUUACACGGCUUGGGACAAAUAUAUGGGUCAAAAAAUCACCCCAAAACAUGAAAGAACUUUAUACAAAGGGGAUCCACUUGGGAGGGCUUAGACCCAGCACCACGAGGUUUCCAGUUGUGUUCAGCCUCAUUUCACAUCUAAUGACUGUUCUGAGACUGCAUGUUGGCCUUACCAUUGGAAGAGAACAAUGGGAGUCAGCACUUAAUCAUUUUGUAGUGGUGAAU